This 776-nucleotide ribosomal RNA is filed under the name uncultured Neocallimastigales. RNAcentral's name for it is "partial large subunit ribosomal RNA". It matches the Rfam family "Eukaryotic large subunit ribosomal RNA", at positions 24 to 645 of the family's 3401-position model. Lineage: Eukaryota; Fungi; Neocallimastigomycota; Neocallimastigomycetes; Neocallimastigales. The record is from RNAcentral.
GUAGUCUCGCACAGAUGCAUAUCAAUAAGCGGAGGAAAAGAAACUAACUAGGAUUCCCUCAGUAACGGCGAGUGAAGCGGGAAGAGCUCAAAUUUGAAAUCUUCAAGGUUCUACCUUGACGAAUUGUAGUUUAAAGAAGUGUUUUCUGUUGGAGUUUUGGUAAAAGUUCUUUGGAAUAGGACAUCAUAGAGGGUGAGAAUCCCGUAUUUGACCAUUAUUUCCAGCUUUGUGAUACACUUUCAAAGAGUCGGAUUGUUUGGGAAUGCAGUCCAAAAUGGGUGGUAAAUUUCAUCUAAAGCUAAAUAUUGGCGAGAGACCGAUAGCGAACAAGUACCGUGAGGGAAAGAUGAAAAGAACUUUGAAAAGAGAGUUAAACAGUACGUGAAAUUGUCAAAAGGGAAGCGUUUGACACCAGUGUUGUUUUCUCGAAAAUCAAUUAAAAAAGGCAGGAUUUUGUGUUGUAUUGACUUUAUCAGCUUUCUGCACUCUUUUCUCGUCUUUUUUUAACUGCACUUUUCGUUUAACAAGUCAACAUCAAUUUCUUUUGUUGUAAAAGGGUCAUUGGAAGGUGGCUUUCUUUUCGGAGAAAGUGUUUAUAGCCUUUGGCCUCUGCAAUCGGAGAGAUUGAGGUCUGCAGCGUAGAUCCUUCGGGGUUAGAUACAUUUGUGCUAAGUUAUAGCCUUUCAUAGACAACUUGUUGACUAUGAUCAGUCAUGUAGCUUACUCGCUUAUGCUAUUUUACCUACGCUUAGGAUGUUGAAGUCAUCGUAUCGCGC